UCGCACGGAGCACCCCGGGCUUUGCUGAGAAACUUUGUGACGACGGAAGCCCCAAUGCUCGUGCCAUAUGGAUUCGCCGUUCUGUGUUGCAGAUCUGUUCACGAAUUCUAACGACUGAUCUGUGUCAAAGUAACGGCUAAAUUU
Elaeis guineensis (African oil palm) is the source of this 144-nucleotide small nucleolar RNA. RefSeq annotates it as small nucleolar RNA snoR134. The record is from RefSeq and is a predicted model, not a curated record. NCBI's taxonomy places the organism in Eukaryota, Viridiplantae, Streptophyta, Magnoliopsida, Arecales, Arecaceae.